Thalassophryne amazonica is the source of this 247-nucleotide long non-coding RNA. RefSeq lists it as uncharacterized. The transcript is spliced from 3 exons. The record is from RefSeq and is a predicted model, not a curated record. NCBI's taxonomy places the organism in Eukaryota, Metazoa, Chordata, Actinopteri, Batrachoidiformes, Batrachoididae.
AAGACCUGCACGGCAAAAGGACAUGGUUUGAUAAAAACUCAAUCAUGUCACAUUUAUGGUUUGUAGCACCACCAAACUCACAUCACACAUCAAUGAACUCCCUCUGGUUGUACUACAGCACUUAGAUUGGAAAAAUGUACUAUUAUAUCAUUUCAGGGAUUUUUUUUUAUUGUAAUAAAUUUGAAUAAAAAUCUCAACAACUUUUUAUUUAUAUCUUGUAGUGCAACCAAACUCACAUCACACAUCA